RNAcentral lists this ribosomal RNA (350 nucleotides) under uncultured rumen bacterium. RNAcentral's name for it is "bacterial SSU rRNA". It matches the Rfam family "Bacterial small subunit ribosomal RNA", at positions 19 to 363 of the family's 1533-position model. The record is from RNAcentral.
UUGGCUCAGGAUGAACGCUGGCGGCAGGCUUAACACAUGCAAGUCGAGGGGCAGCGCGGUGGUAGCAAUACUACUGGCGGCGACCGGCGCACUGGUGAGUAACACGUAUGCGACCUGCCCCGGACAGGGGGAUAAACCCGGGAAACUGGGCCUAAUACCCCAUAUGCCCAUUGAUCGCAUGGUCAGUGGGUGAAAGAUCCGUCGGUCCGGGAUGGGCAUGCGGCGCAUUAGCUGGUUGGCGGGGCAACGGCCCACCAAGGCGACGAUGCGUAGGGGUUCUGAGAGGAAGGUCCCCCACACUGGUACUGAGACACGGACCAGACUCCUACGGGAGGCAGCAGUGGGGAAUA